UGCGAGUCGAGAGGGGUAAGCCCUCGGCGAACUGCUCAGUAAUAUGUAGCUAACCUACCCUUAGGUCGGGGAUAACCUCGGGAAACUGAGUUCAAUACCCGAUAGGAGUUUAGAUCUGGAAUGACUAAACUCCCAAAGCUCCGGCGCCUAAGGAUGGGGCUACAUCUCAUCAGCCUGUUGGGGGUGUAACGAACCCUCAAAGCUAUAACGGGUACGGGCCGUGAGAGCGGAAGCCCGGAGAUGGAUUCUGAGACAUGAAUCCAGGUCCUACGGGACGCAGCAGGCGCGAAACCUUCGCAAUGUGCUAACGCACGACGAGGGGAUCCGAAGUGCUACAGCACUGCUGUAGCUUUUGCCGAGUCCAAACAGCUCGGCGAAUAAGGGGUGGGUAAGACAGGUGCCAGCCGCCGCGGUAAUACCUGCGCACCAAGUGGUAUCCAGUAUUAUUGGGCCUAAAGCGUCCGUAGCCGGUCUGGCAAGUCUUCGGUGAAAUUCACUAGUAAACUAGUGAGCUUGUCGGAGAUACUGCCAGACUUGGGACCGGGAGAGGGCAGGGGUACUCCUAGGGGAGGGGUAAAAUCCUAUAAUCCUAGGGGGACCACCGGUGGCGAAGGCGCCUACCUAGAACGGUUCCGACAGUGAGGAACGAAAGCUAGGGGAGCGAUCGGGAUUAGAUACCCCGGUAGUCCUAGCCGUAAACGAUGCCCGCUUGGUGUUGCAGUCUUCUCGCGAGAUUGCAGUGCCGGAAUGUAGAUGUU
RNAcentral lists this ribosomal RNA (758 nucleotides) under uncultured archaeon. RNAcentral's name for it is "bacterial SSU rRNA". It matches the Rfam family "Archaeal small subunit ribosomal RNA", at positions 52 to 816 of the family's 1478-position model. The record is from RNAcentral.